CCGGGCACUAUUCCACCACCCCCUCCCACACGGUCUCUGAUAACGGGAAAAACAAGGCUCCUGCUCCGUGUAUCUCGCCCGCCGCCAUUAUCCGGCCCUUCCCACCCCCACCGCGGGCGGGCAUUUUCCUCCCUCUCUCACUUACGCCCCCCCCCAAAAAAAAAACAAACCUCGGCGGAUGGCGCCUUUUUGACAGGCGCCGUGUGUGGAAAAUCUUCGACCUCCCUCAUCCUGUCUUCGAGUUGAGGCAUUUUAUUACGUAAAUUAUUAUAGUGCAACUUUUAAAAUAAAUCAAACUGUGGAAGCCACCCAGGUUAGUUUAGUUACAAAAUUGCCUUGUCAUGUUUUGCUUAAUCACUGGCAAACUCUCCUUUAGGGAAAAUUGAACCUAAUUUUAAUUUCUCCUUUGCAAAGAUUGAUUGGAAAUUUUAUUUGCUCCAGCCUAGUUUGAGAUCUGUGGUAUAGAGAGUUAUAUAAAGGCUUUUAUGAUGUAUGACCAACUUGAACUGUUUAACGUGCUUUAGCAUUUGAAGUGCACAGACAGCUAAACCAAGCAAUAUCAUGAAAUAGGAAUUUAUUUUGUUUGAAUUAAGUUUCAAGAGCACUGUAUUUCUAGAUGAGAUUGACCUCAUAUUCAAUACUUAAAUUCUGUACUGUGACAGAAUGUAACCAAGUAAUUUGAAUUUUGUCAAAGUACCUUCACUUUCUGAAUUCAUGAGAAAUUGCAUUUAUUGUCUUUGUAUGUUUAUGUAUCUGAGCAGGUAAAUUUAAUUCCUGGCCAUAAGCACUGUCCAGUUUGCAGUUUUAUAGUAUAAACCAUGGAUAAGUUUUACUUGCAGUUGUGACUGAGGGCAGAGAUUCCCAAAGUCUUGGAUGUGAGCUGGGGUCCUGAAGUAAUCCCCUCACCCCAGAGCAUGCAACAACUGCAGGCCUUGAAGGUUGAUUAUGGUGGGGUAAGACAUUUGGGAAUCACUGUCUUGAGAAAGGGUUAACAUUGCCUGGGUGAAGGGUGUAGUUGUCUGGUUUUGGGCUGAAUCACAUUGAUUUUGUUGGUGAUAUUUCAGUCGUAUCUGUUGUCUCAGGUGUAGCAGCAAAUCAAAGUUAAGAUUUUAUUGUGGUACUUAGGCUAGGUAAUUCUGUCACUGAACUAUCUGUCCUUAGUUGUCAAUAUAUUCUUGUCCAGAAAACACCAAGUGCUUUAUUUCGACAGUUAACAGUAGAUGCAACAGAAAUGUGCUGUGUUUUAAGUUGUUGGCAUAUUUACGUAUCCAAUUUCAGGUUUUGAUUAUGCUAAGCCAAACCAAACUUAAAUUUGCAGCUAAGGUGCUCACAUUGCUGUGUUUUGAGGCAGAUGUACAAACCCAGAUGUUUUAGUUAAUCUUGAGAGAUGUGCAUCAUGACCAAAACAAUGCUAAAUAGGGUUAGAAGUCACAAAUUCCAGCAAGUAGGCUCAUUGUCUUAAAAGUUCUUUGCUGAUACAUUUUUUUUCCUGAAUUUCUUGAAUACUUUACUAUAUUUGGAAGAGUGGACCAGUAUCUCCAAUUGUGAAGUGCCUGCAGUUGCAUACUUAAAAGGUGUUCCAGUAUACCUUGAUUGGGAGUUGAGGUUUUUUUUUGUAAUUUGUUAAAAACUUGCCUGGUACGAAUAAAAAUGCAGCUGUUUAUAAAAUUACCUUUUCAGCUUAAUUUUGAAAUCCUGGCUGCUGUCUCAGCUAAAGAUGUUGACUCUGUCUUGUGUGAUCUCUAGUGAGAAUUAAAGUGUAUUUGUCUUUUUUGUUGAAACACAAACAUCUAGUUCUCAAAAAAAAAGUUUCAAUAUGAAAUAUAAAUUAACAGUCAUCAGACAUCUAGAAGAUGGUCCAAUAUCGUGCUAGAACGUAUUAGCAUUGCUUUGUGAUGACCAACUGCAGUCAUUUCUGUUGGAAGUUUAAAUUAUAGUUUAUUUUUUGAACAACCCAGUUGUAUCCUAUAAACUUGUAGAAGCACAGCUUUGCCAUUAGUUAUUUCAAUGUGAAAACAUUUUAACUGUAUUGCUUCCCCUCUCCCCCUCUUUCUCUCUC
Long non-coding RNA from Stegostoma tigrinum, 2059 nucleotides. RefSeq lists it as uncharacterized. NCBI's taxonomy places the organism in Eukaryota, Metazoa, Chordata, Chondrichthyes, Orectolobiformes, Stegostomatidae. The record is from RefSeq and is a predicted model, not a curated record. The transcript has 3 exons.